Molecule: ribosomal RNA, 424 nt
Filed under: uncultured bacterium
Lineage: Bacteria
Description: bacterial SSU rRNA
Rfam family: Bacterial small subunit ribosomal RNA
Source: RNAcentral
ACGCUGGCGGCACGCCUAACACAUGCAAGUCGAACGAAGUAGCAAUACUUAGUGGCAGACGGGUGAGUAACAUGUAGGUAUCUGCCCUUUGGCCUGGAAUAACACGAGGAAACUUGUGCUAAUACCGGAUAAGUCUUUACGGAGAAAGCUUUAUGCACCAUUGGAUGAGCCUGCACUUGAUUAGUUUGUUGGUGGGGUAAUGGCCUACCAAGACUGUGAUCAAUAGCUGAUUUGAGAGGAUGAUCAGCCACAUUGGGACUGAGACACGGCCCAAACUCCUACGGGAGGCAGCAGUGGGGAAUCUUGCACAAUGGAGGAAACUCUGAUGCAGCGAUGCCGCGUGAGUGAAGAAGGCCCUUGGGUUGUAAAGCUCUUUCGUCGGGGAAGAAAAUGACUGUACCCGAAUAAGAAGGUCCGGCUAACU